GACGAACGCUGGCGGCGUGCCUAAUACAUGCAAGUAGAACGCACAGUUUAUACCGUAGCUUGCUACACCAUAGACUGUGAGUUGCGAACGGGGGAGUAACGCGUAGGUAACCUGCCUGGUAGCGGGGGAGAACUAGUGGAAACGAUAGCUAAUACCGCAUAAGAUUAAUUAUUGCAUGAUAAUUAAUUGAAUUGGGCAAUUGCACCACUACCAGACGGACUUGCGUUGUAUUAGCUAGUAGGUGAGGUAACGGCUCACCUAGGCGACGAUACAUAGCCGACCUGAGAGGGUGAUCGGCCACACUGGGACUGAGACACGGCCCAGACUCCUACGGGAGGCAGCAGUAGGGAAUCUUCGGCAAUGGACGAAAGUCUGACCGAGCAACGCCGCGUGAGUGAAGAAGGUUUUCGGAUCGUAAAGCUCGGUUGUAAGAGAAGAACGGGUGUGAGAGUGGAAAGUUCACACUGUGACGGUAUCUUACCAGAAAGGGACGGCUAACUACGUG
Molecule: ribosomal RNA, 505 nt
Filed under: uncultured bacterium
Lineage: Bacteria
Description: partial 16S ribosomal RNA
Rfam family: Bacterial small subunit ribosomal RNA
Source: RNAcentral